This 72-nucleotide transfer RNA is filed under the name Caudoviricetes sp. Its description in RNAcentral is "tRNA-OTHER". It matches the Rfam family "tRNA". Rfam says of the family: Transfer RNA (tRNA) molecules are approximately 80 nucleotides in length. Their secondary structure includes four short double-helical elements and three loops (D, anti-codon, and T loops). Lineage: Duplodnaviria; Heunggongvirae; Uroviricota; Caudoviricetes. The record is from RNAcentral.
UCAGACGUAGCUCAAUCUGGCAGUAGCACCGCGACCGGAGGUAUGAUGUUGGUUCGAAUCCAACCGUCUGAG